CCUACGGGUGGCAGCAGUGGGGAAUUUUGCGCAAUGCUCGUAAGAGGAACGCAGCGACGCCGCGUGAAUGCCGAAGGCCUUCGGGUCGUAAAGUUCUUUCGACAGGGACGAAACUGCCUAUAAGUAACUGUGUAUGUAUUGACGGUACCUGUAUAAGCAGCCCCGGCUAACUCCGUGCCAGCAGCCGCGGUAAUACGGAGGGGGCGAGCGUUGUUCGGAGGGACUGGGCGUAAAGAGCACGUAGGCGGUGUUGUAAGUCAUUAGUCAAAGACUAGAGCUCAACUUUAGUAAGGCUAGUGAUACUAUAAUACUAGAGUAUCAGAGAGGAUUGCAGAAUUCCUGGUGUAGCGGUGAAAUGCGUAGAUAUCAGGAGGAAUACCGUUAGCGAAGGCGGCAAUCUGGCUGGAAACUGACGCUGAGGUGCGAAAGCGUGGGUAGCAAACAGGAUUAGAUACCCCAGUAGUC
RNAcentral lists this ribosomal RNA (465 nucleotides) under uncultured bacterium. Its description in RNAcentral is "partial 16S ribosomal RNA". It matches the Rfam family "Bacterial small subunit ribosomal RNA", at positions 338 to 795 of the family's 1533-position model. The record is from RNAcentral.